Molecule: ribosomal RNA, 467 nt
Filed under: uncultured bacterium
Lineage: Bacteria
Description: partial 16S ribosomal RNA
Rfam family: Bacterial small subunit ribosomal RNA
Source: RNAcentral
GACGAACGCUGGCGGCGUGCUUAACACAUGCAAGUCGAACGGAAAGGCCCUGCUUUUGUGGGGUGCUCGAGUGGCGAACGGGUGAGUAACACGUGAGUAACCUGCCCUUGACUUUGGGAUAACUUCAGGAAACUGGGGCUAAUACCGGAUAGGAGCUCCUGCUGCAUGGUGGGGGUUGGAAAGUUUCGGCGGUUGGGGAUGGACUCGCGGCUUAUCAGCUUGUUGGUGGGGUAGUGGCUUACCAAGGCUUUGACGGGUAGCCGGCCUGAGAGGGUGACCGGCAACAUGGGGAAUAAGAGAAGGCGCAGAGGAGGACGGGAGGCAGCAGUGGGGAAGAUGGCACAAUGGGAGGAGGCGUGAAGCAGCAAAGGCGCGUGAGGGAGGAGGGCGGUCGGGUAGGAAAAAGCUAUCGCCGGUGACGAAGAGGGAGUGACGGUAAGGGGUAAAGAAGCAAAAGCUAACUAAGU